Molecule: transfer RNA, 69 nt
Filed under: Ictidomys tridecemlineatus (thirteen-lined ground squirrel)
Lineage: Eukaryota; Metazoa; Chordata; Mammalia; Rodentia; Sciuridae
Description: Spermophilus tridecemlineatus (thirteen-lined ground squirrel) tRNA
Rfam family: tRNA
About the family: Transfer RNA (tRNA) molecules are approximately 80 nucleotides in length.
Source: Rfam by way of RNAcentral
GGAGUUGUAGCUCAGUGGUAUAGUGCUUGCCUAGCACACAUGAGGCCCUGGGUUCAAUCCUCAGCACCA